GGCUGCACCUGUGGCAUAUGAUUACAAAGUUGCUAAAAGUGACCCUCAGAGAGGCCCAGAGCGGUGGUCCACAGCGAAAGACGACAAAGCUCAGCAGCGCGCCUUGUGGGGAAACAGUCUCCUCAGAGAUUCUCAAACUACCGCUGGAGGAGUUCCCAUUGUGGCGCAGUGGUUAACGAAUCCGACUAGGAACCACGAGGUUGCAGGUUGAUCUUUGGCCUUGCUCAGUGGGUUAAGGAUCCGGCGUGGCUGUGAGCUGUGGUGUAGGUGGCAGACGCGGCUCGGAUCCCGCAUUGCUGUGGCUGUGGUGUAGGCUGGCAGCUACAGCUCCGAUGAGCCCCCUAGCCUGGGAACCUCCACAUGCCACAGGAGCCGCCCUAGAAAAGGCAAAAAACUACCGCUGGAGGAAACAGGAUGUCCUGCAUCCCAGUGGAGUGACUGGAGCACAAACUCUGUGAUUGGGUAUUUGAAGGAAUUGUGACUUCCAAGAAGAUGGUAGCUUGGGGUGUUUGGAAUGUGAAGAGAUUAGCUGCCACCCCCGCCCCCUUCCGCUGUCCCCCAACCCCCAUCCUCCCAAGGACGUUUGGGCUGUGUUGAGUUAUGUUAUACUAUGAGACAAAAAAAUAAUCUAUAAGACCAGUUUUGCCUCUUCCAUCACAAAAGCUCAGAAGAGACCUACGCUCUAUGACCCAACCCUAACUAGCAGUUUCCUUUGUCUGGUUUGACGUCAGUUAAUGACUGGACUUUGAACCUGAAAGAACAUUAAAAGGAAAGAUAGCUGAAGGGAAAUCAUUUUCUCUCUGGAUUACCUGGCACCAACAUCCAAAAUGAAAGUCUUCAUUCACUUCACUCUGCUUGCCCUCCUUUUCCUAAAAUCAGCAAGUAUGGCUCAGAACAAGACAGGAGGCACCACAAAGCUGACAUCCACAGAAAACACCAGCUCCCCGAACGCGGCGGAAAGCACCAGCGCUCCUUCCGCUGCAAGAAACAGUGCUCCGGGCACGGCAGCAAGCACCAGCGCUCCGUCUGCGGCAGCAAGCAGCAGCGCUCUGUCUGCGGAGGCAAGCACCAGCGCUCCGGCCGCGGCGGCAAGCACCAGUGCUCCGACCGCAGGGGCAAUCACCAGCGCUCUGUCCACCGCGGCAAGCACCAGAAUUCCAACCGCGGCAGCAAGCACCAGCGCUCCAUCCGAGGCGGAAAGCACCAGCGCUCCUACCACGGCAGCAAGCACCAGGGCUCCGACCGCAGGGGCAAGCACCAGCGCUCCGGCCGCAGGGGGAAGCACCAGCGCUCCUUCCGCUGCAAGCACGAGCGCUCCGGCCGCAGGGGCAAGCACCAGCGGUCCUGACGCCGCGGCAAGCACCAGCGCUACAGCCGCAGGGGCAAGCACCAGCGGUCCUGACGCCGCGGCAAGCACCAGCGCUACAGCCGCAGGGGCAAGCACCAGCGGUCCUGACGCCGCGG
This 1464-nucleotide long non-coding RNA is filed under the name Sus scrofa (pig). Its description in RNAcentral is "lncRNA (ENSSSCG00005003238.1)". Lineage: Eukaryota; Metazoa; Chordata; Mammalia; Artiodactyla; Suidae. The record is from RNAcentral.